This 472-nucleotide ribosomal RNA is filed under the name uncultured bacterium. Its description in RNAcentral is "bacterial SSU rRNA". It matches the Rfam family "Bacterial small subunit ribosomal RNA", at positions 355 to 825 of the family's 1533-position model. The record is from RNAcentral.
UGGGGAAUUUUGGACAAUGGGGGCAACCCUGAUCCAGCAAUGCCGCGUGAGUGAAGAAGGCCUUCGGGUUGUAAAGCUCUUUCGGCGGGGACGAAACGGUUCGUGACAACACCACGGACUAAUGACGGUACCCGCAUAAGAAGCACCGGCUAACUACGUGCCAGCAGCCGCGGUAAUACGUAGGGUGCAGGCGUUAAUCGGAAUUACUGGGCGUAAAGCGUGCGCAGGCGGUUUGUUAAGACAGGUGUGAAAUCCCCGGGCUUAACCUGGGAAUUGCGCUUGUAACUGGCAGGCUAGAGUGUGGCAGAGGGGGGUGGAAUUCCACGUGUAGCAGUGAAAUGCGUAGAUAUGUGGAGGAACACCGAUGGCGAAGGCAGCCCCCUGGGUUAACACUGACGCUCAUGCACGAAAGCGUGGGGAGCAAACAGGAUUAGAUACCCCGGUAGUCCCUGAGCGGGCUGGCAAGGCGCAU